AAGCCGUUCUCAGUUCGGAUCGGAGUCUGCAACCCGACUCCGUGAAGCUGGAUUCGCUAGUAAUCGCGCAUCAGCCAUGGCGCGGUGAAUACGUUCCCGGGUCUUGUACACACCGCCCGUCACACCAUGGGAGUUAGGAAUACCCGAAGCCUGUGAGCCAACUUUAUAAGAGGCAGCAGUCGAAGGUAGAACUAAUGAUUGGGGUGAAGUCGUAACAAGGUAAC
This 224-nucleotide ribosomal RNA is filed under the name uncultured bacterium. RNAcentral describes it as "partial 16S ribosomal RNA". It matches the Rfam family "Bacterial small subunit ribosomal RNA", at positions 1279 to 1500 of the family's 1533-position model. The record is from RNAcentral.